Molecule: long non-coding RNA, 680 nt
Filed under: Mus spicilegus (steppe mouse)
Lineage: Eukaryota; Metazoa; Chordata; Mammalia; Rodentia; Muridae
Description: lncRNA (ENSMSIG00000025982.1)
Source: RNAcentral
GUUAUUUUUACUUACUUUCAAGCUUCAUUCAUUCAUUCAUUCGAAAUGCCAGGAAUCAAGCCUAGGGCUUUGUCUCUACCAAAGACCAUGUCCUCAGCCUUACCAUGUGACUUUGAGGAAAUUGUUUCACCUUCUCUGGCUCUCACAAUCUCACAGCUGUUUCCAUUGUUUCUAUAUCUGUCGAUGUGAGUCACUCUAUGAGUGAUUAUAAAGGUGUUGUGAACAGAACCACUAUUUUGAGAACCUUCAAAGUGCCAAUACCUGGAGCUGUGAUGAAUCUGAGAAUUUUGGCACCAAGAAAAGCUACCAGGAAACAUUUACUAAAAACCUGUUAAGAGCAAAUAUCAACAAGGGAGGCAGUUCUAAAUGGGCCGUGAGGGUCAGCCACCAAGAGCCAGAAUGAUGCACAAUGCUGCUAGUGCUGCCGGGUCCACAAGGACUUUCUGCUCCCUCUCCUUCUCAGGGUUUAAGACUUCUGCUAUGUCAUGGGGCCAGUCAUUACAGGGCGGGCAUGAGUUGGAAUUUCACCGUGAAACUCUACGCAUCUUCAAAAAGUCAUUAGGCUGUGAAUUCUGUAAUUAUGGAAAUCGUCAGGCCAGUUCUCUGAGAAUGUUUGCUCCCAUCCAUAAGGUAGUGGAAUGUUCAAUCAGUCUCUCUCGUGGGAAAGUUAGGUCAUAACU